RNAcentral lists this transfer RNA (89 nucleotides) under Longibacter salinarum. It matches the Rfam family "tRNA". Rfam says of the family: Transfer RNA (tRNA) molecules are approximately 80 nucleotides in length. Lineage: Bacteria; Pseudomonadati; Rhodothermota; Rhodothermia; Rhodothermales; Salisaetaceae. The record is from Rfam by way of RNAcentral.
GGAGAGGUGGCCGAGCGGUCGAAGGCGCUCCCCUGCUAAGGGAGUAAACCGUUAACGCGGUUUCGAGGGUUCGAAUCCCUCCCUCUCCG